CCGCGGUAAUACCAGCUCCACUGGCCUAUACAAUCAUUGUUGCGGUUAAGAGGCUCGUAGUUGGAUUGAACACUAUAUUUAUAUAUAUUUAUUAAUAUAUAUUUUUAACUGACAUACUGUUACACACGCAUUUAUAUAUAUAUUAUUAUCAAUAUCAAUCAUCAACACUGUGAACAAAUCUUAAUGUAUCAAAUAUGUCUAUUUUGAAUGUGCAUUGAAUGUCUUAUCAUGGAAUGUUGCCACUUUGCACGUGAGAGGAUUCAAAAUUUAACAUAUAUUGAUACACAAUACAAUAUAAUAAUAUAUGGCAACGAUAAUAUGCGUAUUAAAUUUUGAACAGUAUUUAUUUAUACGUCGAUGGGGAUAGUUGGAGUCAAGAGUACUGUUGGGCGAGAGGUGAAAUUCAAUUGACCCUAGCAUGACUACCAAAAGCGAAAGCACUCGACUAGGCUACACUCUUUGUGAAUAUAUAUAUUUAUUUAUACACGCGCCAAUAAUAAUAUAUAUAUUAUACACUUUACAAUGAAGAACGAAGGUUGGGGGAUCAAAGAGGAUCAGAUACCCUCGUCGUCCCAUUAAUUACAUCAAACGAUGGGCUNUCAAUAGCAUUUUAUAUAAUAAAUUGUAAUUUAUGCCCUCAACCUAUAAAAUAUUAACUUGGCUUGAGCUAGUAAUAUUAUUAUUAUAUUACGCUCGCCUAAUCUAUAUUUAACGGUCUCGAUGGACAUUUAUAUGAAUUUAUAUUUCUAACURCUGCGUGUAAGCAUAUAUAUUUAUUGAAAUAUAUAAAUUAUUUAUAGCGUGCACUUGAUUUUCGGNGCUUUGCGCUCAAAUUUAUUCUGGUGAGAUGUAAGCAAUCAAUUAUUAUUUAUUUGUCCUAUAUAGUUCGCUAUUAGUGAUAUAAUUAUUUAAUAAUUCAUAUGUGUAUUGUGAUGCACGUGUUAGGCACGCGCUUACUGCAGAAAUGUCUGAGACNNUNNCCUCCGGGGGUAGUAUGCACGCAAGUGUGAAACUUGAAGGAAUUGACGGAAGGGCACCACAAGAACGCGUGGAGCAUGUGGCUUAAUUUGACUCAACGCGGGAAAUCUUACCGGGUCCGGACACACUGAGGAUUGACAGAUAUAUUAUUAUAUGUAUUUUAAAUACAUAUAUUAGAAAGAUGCUAGUUCUUUCAUGAUUAUGUGAUAGGUGGUGCAUGGCCGUUCUUAGUUCGUGGAGUGAUCUGUCUGCUUAAUUGCGUUUCACUAAAGGCCUUAUUAUAUACAGUGUGUUGACACUUUGCAUUGACCCCUGCUCAUUGAGUGGUUGCGUGUCUUUGUUAUACUGUCUCAUACUAAUUUAGGCCUUGAAAGCAACGAACGUGACCGCAACCUCUUGUUGCCUUAUUACCAUAUAUAAUAAUUGUGUCUCUGUACACAUUUAUUGUAAUAAAGGCUAUUUUAUUUAAAUUAAACUAGAGGGACCGCUGUGAUCUUUUUUAAACCAGAGGAAGGUUGCGGCAAUAACAGGUCUGUGAUGCCCUUAGAUGUUCCGGGCUGCACACGUGCUACAAUGAUUAUUGCAGUGAGCAUCUCAUUUAUAACAGCUGUCUUGUGCGUGUAUUAAUUAUUUUUAUAAUAAUUAAAUUACAUUGUACACAGCUAAGCCUACUUCGAGAGGUCAGUAGGUAACCAAUUAGAAGUAAUGAUUUCUAAUUUAUUAUGCACAACAAUAUGUGGCAUUUAUAUCCGGGUUGUAGCUUUGCCUAUAACUUUUGUGUGUAUAAAUGUAUUUUAUAUCCACAUGUGCAAUUAUUAAUACAAGGUGGGGACAGACUAUUGUUAAUUGUUAGUCUCGGUCUUAACUAGGAAUGCCUUGUACGGGUUGGUUCAACAAACCACCCGGAAUACGUCCCUGCCCUUUGUACACACCGCCCGUCGCUCUUACCGAUGAACUUCUCUGUGAGUCUAAUGGACUAAUUAUAUUAUUAACGUUUUAUAAUGGAAAAUUAUACGAACAGGGUGGUUUAAAGGAAAGAGAAGUCGAACAAGGC
RNAcentral lists this ribosomal RNA (2032 nucleotides) under Trochamminidae sp. 9634. RNAcentral's name for it is "SSU rRNA". It matches the Rfam family "Eukaryotic small subunit ribosomal RNA", at positions 576 to 1820 of the family's 1831-position model. The record is from RNAcentral. Lineage: Eukaryota; Foraminifera; Textulariida; Trochamminidae.